Long non-coding RNA from Cornus florida, 377 nucleotides. RefSeq lists it as uncharacterized. The record is from RefSeq and is a predicted model, not a curated record. The transcript has 2 exons. NCBI's taxonomy places the organism in Eukaryota, Viridiplantae, Streptophyta, Magnoliopsida, Cornales, Cornaceae.
UAGGUUGCUCGACUUAAUGCAAACUAUCCUGGUGGGUUGGCAUCAUAUAUCAAAACUGCCAGAGAACUCCUAGCAGAUUCAAAGGUGGGGAAGAUCCCAUUUGAUGGUUUUACACCUUCUGGUAAUUCAAAUCAAAUGGGCAAGAAGAAGACUUGUUGAAGUUGAAGUUGAAGCUGAAGAUGGGGUCGUGGCUGUGCUUUCAGUCUUUUCCUUCACCUUGGAUGGGUUCUUUUUGAAAAACUUGUACUACAUUUGUCAAAAAUACUUAAUUCUUUUUGUGUGACAUUUAGUAUCUUUAUCUAGACAAUUUGGAUGUAUUUUCAUAUUGGCAGGUUAACUUGUGGUUGUAUUAGUAUACAUUUUGGCUUUUUGGUUGA